AGAGUUUGAUCAUGGCUCAGAUUGAACGCUGGCGGCGUGCCUAACACAUGCAAGUCGUACGAGAAAGUGGAGCAAUCCAUGAGUAAAGUGGCGACCGGGUGAGUAACACGUGACUAACCUACCUUCGAGUGGGGGAUAACUCCGGGAAACCGGGGCUAAUACCGCAUAACAUCGCAAGAUCAAAGCAGCAAUGCGCUUGA
Molecule: ribosomal RNA, 200 nt
Filed under: uncultured bacterium
Lineage: Bacteria
Description: partial 16S ribosomal RNA
Rfam family: Bacterial small subunit ribosomal RNA
Source: RNAcentral